UGCACGCAAAGAUUGGCCUCCUGAAGCAGAUGGAAUUGAUUUGGUGAUUAUAAUGGACAGUGUUCCUCAGGGGGGACCUGACUGACUUGAUGUCAUCUGCAAGAUCUUCUACAAAUUUGGUAAAAUCAGAAAUGACUACUUUCCUGAAGAGAAUGAAAAGACAAAAGGGACAAGGAGCCGAGGGGCAUCAUCCCACUGGAGAACCUCAGCAUCAGAGAGGAGGAGGGCCCAUGGAAAGCCGUAAGUGGCCUCCUUUCGCCAGUGUCCCUUUUUUGCCUCCUUGGACUGAGCUUGCAGGUGCCCCAGGCUGGGAAGCUAACAGCAGCUUGGGAACCUGUUUUCUCUCUCUCCCCAGAACUGCUUUGAGCUUUAUAAUCCCAGCCACAAAGGGCAGGUCAUCAAAGCCUGCACAACAGAGGCUGACGGCCAGUGUAUCGCAUCUCUGCAUGGAGCCCUGAAGAGAAGGAGCAAGCAUCAGCAGGGACCCUUCCUAUGACAUGUUGGCAACGAGGAAAAGGAGGAUUGCCAAUAAGAAAUAGAGCUGCCUUGGCCCAGCAGAGGUCAGCGUCAGAAUACACUACCAGAACACAUGGAUCCAGCCGAUACCUGCAGAAGCAGCGGCCAGAAAUUAGCAACCCAAACACCAGCACCACCUCAGACAGGACCUGGCACUGUCGUGACCACUUACUGAGGAUGCUCAAUGUACAGGCACAGGGAGGCUGUGCAGGGUGUGAGCCCUGUCCUGGCCUCAGGAGAGAGCCCAGGCCCCAGGGUCCAGCACCCACGAGCAAAAGACACGACCAAGGCCAUCUUCGUGCCAGGAUCACCAUGCUGCCUUCCCUCAAGAGGAGCCGAGACCAGGCCUUUCACACCCCACCCUGGCGCUCCUUCCCUGAGAGCUGUUCAUCUGCUUUGGUGCAUUCCCUUUAAGUCCCUGCUGUUGAGGUCAGUCUGUGGACCUGCUCCCUGCCCUUGUGGUUUGGGGCCGGAUGUAGGAAUGUAUGGAGAAGGAGCAGAGCUCCCCUGAUGGGGACAGCAGGAGCUGACAGGGC
RNAcentral lists this long non-coding RNA (1052 nucleotides) under Chinchilla lanigera (long-tailed chinchilla). RNAcentral describes it as "lncRNA (ENSCLAG00000024021.1)". The record is from RNAcentral. Lineage: Eukaryota; Metazoa; Chordata; Mammalia; Rodentia; Chinchillidae.